This 119-nucleotide ribosomal RNA is filed under the name Pteropus alecto (black flying fox). The record is from RNAcentral. Lineage: Eukaryota; Metazoa; Chordata; Mammalia; Chiroptera; Pteropodidae.
GUCUACGGCCAUGCUACCCUGAACAAGCCUGAUCUCGUCUGAUCUCAGAAGCUAAGUAGGGUCAGGCCUGGUUAGUACUUGGAUAAGAGAACACCUGGGAAUAACAGGUGCUAUAGGUG